Heterocephalus glaber (naked mole-rat) is the source of this 647-nucleotide long non-coding RNA. The record is from Ensembl. NCBI's taxonomy places the organism in Eukaryota, Metazoa, Chordata, Mammalia, Rodentia, Bathyergidae.
CAUGUGACAUGGGCUUGUCCUAGAGAACAAGGAGCUGGGACUCCCCAGCUCUCCAAAUUCUCACCAAAUAAGAAGGCUGACCUUCAUUUCCUACAAGUACCUGUUGCCAAUCCAGUCCAGAAGAUGAACUAGUCUCACAACACUUCUAGGACCUUCUUCUGCACCCUUACAUCCAAGUCGCACCUCAAUGCAAUGCAGCCUCAAAGUCUUACACAACGUGUCUGGGCAAACCAAGAACCCAAACACCCAGCAGUGAGUCGCUUGUGAAGGUGAGCCUGUUGGCAGUCACAUGAUUCUCCAGCUACACCUUCCAGCUUUGCUUUAUCAAGGAAGCCAGAUCUGGGACACAGUUUCAAGAGAACAACUCCACCAAGUUGAGAACUCCAGCCAACAAAAGCCACAUGUGUAGCUCAGAUGUCCUAGAUUAAGUUGCCAACAAAAUCAGUAACAGGAAAAGAAGCCUUGCUGUAACAAUGCUGUUCUUUCUAAAGAAGAGGGCUGCCACCUGUUGCUUUGGAGUAUCACAGGGACCUGAACUUCCUAUGAAUAUUAUGAUUAUUAGAAGGAUGCAAAUGAGUAGAAGAUACAUCCUAAAGACACAUCCUAAAGAUGCAUCAGCAUAACUGGUUAAAUAAAUUAUGGCAGUC